UGGGGAAUAUUGGACAAUGGGCGAAAGCCUGAUCCAGCCAUGCCGCGUGUGUGAAGAAGGUCUUCGGAUUGUAAAGCACUUUAAGUUGGGAGGAAGGGCAGUAAGCGAAUACCUUGCUGUUUUGACGUUACCGACAGAAUAAGCACCGGCUAACUCUGUGCCAGCAGCCGCGGUAAUACAGAGGGUGCAAGCGUUAAUCGGAAUUACUGGGCGUAAAGCGCGCGUAGGUGGUUCGUUAAGUUGAAUGUGAAAGCCCCGGGCUCAACCUGGGAACUGCCUCCAAAACCGGCGAGCUAGAGUAGGGCAGAGGGUGGUGGAAUUUCCUGUGUAGCGGUGAAAUGCGUAGAUAUAGGAAGGAACACCAGUGGCGAAGGCGACCACCUGGGCUCAUACUGACACUGAGGUGCGAAAGCGUGGGGAGCAAACAGG
Molecule: ribosomal RNA, 429 nt
Filed under: Pseudomonadota bacterium
Lineage: Bacteria; Pseudomonadati; Pseudomonadota
Description: Proteobacteria bacterium partial 16S ribosomal RNA
Rfam family: Bacterial small subunit ribosomal RNA
Source: RNAcentral